ACGAACCUGGCGGCAGGCUUAACACAUGCAAGUCGAGCGGGCGUAGCAAUACGUCAGCGGCAGACGGGUGAGUAACGCGUGGGAACGUACCUUUUGGUUCGGAACAACACAGGGAAACUUGUGCUAAUACCGGAUAAGCCCUUACGGGGAAAGAUUUAUCGCCGAAAGAUCGGCCCGCGUCUGAUUAGCUAGUUGGUGUGGUAACGGCGCACCAAGGCGACGAUCAGUAGCUGGUCUGAGAGGAUGAUCAGCCACAUUGGGACUGAGACACGGCCCAAACUCCUACGGGAGGCAGCAGUGGGGAAUAUUGGACAAUGGGCGCAAGCCUGAUCCAGCCAUGCCGCGUGAGUGAUGAAGGCCCUAGGGUUGUAAAGCUCUUUUGUGCGGGAAGAUAAUGACGGUACCGCAAGAAUAAGCCCCGGCUAACUUCGUGCCAGCAGCCGCGGUAAUACGAAGGGGGCUAGCGUUGCUCGGAAUCACUGGGCGUAAAGGGUGCGUAGGCGGGUCUUUAAGUCAGGGGUGAAAUCCUGGAGCUCAACUCCAGAACUGCCUUUGAUACUGAGGA
RNAcentral lists this ribosomal RNA (565 nucleotides) under uncultured Alphaproteobacteria bacterium. RNAcentral describes it as "bacterial SSU rRNA". It matches the Rfam family "Bacterial small subunit ribosomal RNA", at positions 29 to 639 of the family's 1533-position model. Lineage: Bacteria; Pseudomonadati; Pseudomonadota; Alphaproteobacteria. The record is from RNAcentral.